AAAUGUGGUCAUACUGGCUUGUCAAAACCUGAUCUUGUCAGGUCUCAGAAGAUAAACAAGGCCAGGCCUGGUUAGUACUUGGGUGGGACAUCACAGGGGAUACCAGGUGUCACAGUGG
This 118-nucleotide ribosomal RNA is filed under the name Periophthalmus magnuspinnatus. Lineage: Eukaryota; Metazoa; Chordata; Actinopteri; Gobiiformes; Gobiidae. The record is from RNAcentral.